CUUGCAUGGCUUAUGCGUACAACCCCUAUUCUUCCAGUCACAUCCUUUGAGAAUACUGCGCAAACUACGUCGUAAAUUCUAUCUAAAGCUAAAUAUUCCUGAGAGACCGAUAGCGAACAAGUACCCUGAAAGAAAGAUGAAAAGAACUUUGAAAAGAGAUUUAAAGAGUACCCGAAACUGAUCAAAGGGAACCGUAUCGUUUUUAGUGUGUAUAAUAUGUCAUAUAUCAUCAUUGGCAAAUAAGUGUGUGCAUGUGUUAUUCGGCAGCGGCCUUUUUUAGGCUGCCCCCGGCGUGUGUGUGCAUGUGUUUGCUGGUGCCUGUAAUGCGCUGGGACGUCAACGACAGUUCGUAUGCUGUGGGAAAUGACUGCUGAGGAGGUACGGCUUACGCUUGCGUUUGUCUCUUAUAUCUUGGCGGACUUUGUCGUGGUUGGGACUGAGGUGCCUAUAAUGUGCUUAUACGAGUGGGUCAUGCGUCUCUGUGCGCGCUGUGUGCGGAUAGCUUGCUAUGUGUGUGUGGCUGUGUGUGGAUUGAUACC
RNAcentral lists this ribosomal RNA (539 nucleotides) under Perofascia lepidii. RNAcentral describes it as "partial large subunit ribosomal RNA". It matches the Rfam family "Eukaryotic large subunit ribosomal RNA", at positions 228 to 643 of the family's 3401-position model. The record is from RNAcentral. Lineage: Eukaryota; Oomycota; Peronosporomycetes; Peronosporales; Peronosporaceae.